Molecule: ribosomal RNA, 413 nt
Filed under: Mantidactylus melanopleura
Lineage: Eukaryota; Metazoa; Chordata; Amphibia; Anura; Mantellidae
Description: partial 16S ribosomal RNA
Rfam family: Bacterial large subunit ribosomal RNA
Source: RNAcentral
CUCCUUUUUCAAAUCAGUGAAAUUAAUCUCCCCGUGAAGAAGCGGGGAUACUCAUAUAAGACGAGAAGACCCCAUGGAGCUUCAAACCCAACUACACCCCUAGCUCUUAUAGCCCCACAACCCCCCUAGGCACCGUGUACUUGGUUUUAGGUUGGGGCGACCGCGGAGUACAAUAAAACCUCCACAAUGAAUGGGAACACCCCCUUAUCUGAGGGCCACACCCCCUAAGAAUUAGAACACUAACAUAAAAUGAUCCAUUACUUGAUCAAUGAACCAAGUUACCCUGGGGAUAACAGCGCAAUCCAUUUCAAGAGCCCCUAUCGACAAAUGGGUUUACGACCUCGAUGUUGGAUCAGGGUACCCCAGUGGUGCAGCAGCUACUAACGGUUCGUUUGUUCAACGAUUAAAACCCU